UACAGAGGUGGCAAGCGUUGUUCGGAAUUACUGGGCGUAAAGGGCGCGUAGGCGGUCUUGUAAGUCCCGUGUGAAAUCCCUCGGCUCAACUGAGGAAUGGCACGGGAAACUGCUUGGCUUGAGUUCGGGAGAGGGAAGCGGAAUUCCGGGUGUAGCGGUGAAAUGCGUAGAUAUCCGGAGGAACACCGGUGGCGAAGGCGGCUUCCUGGACCGACACUGACGCUGAGGCGCGAAAGCGUGGGGAGCGAACAGG
Molecule: ribosomal RNA, 253 nt
Filed under: uncultured bacterium
Lineage: Bacteria
Description: partial 16S ribosomal RNA
Rfam family: Bacterial small subunit ribosomal RNA
Source: RNAcentral